RNAcentral lists this ribosomal RNA (754 nucleotides) under uncultured Streptococcus sp. RNAcentral describes it as "bacterial SSU rRNA". It matches the Rfam family "Bacterial small subunit ribosomal RNA", at positions 28 to 776 of the family's 1533-position model. Lineage: Bacteria; Bacillati; Bacillota; Bacilli; Lactobacillales; Streptococcaceae. The record is from RNAcentral.
GAUGAACGCUCGCUGUGUGCUAAUACAUGCAUGUUGAACGGGAUGUAGCAAUACAUUCAGUAGCGAAUGGGUGAGUAACACGUACCUAACCUACCUUUAAGACUGGGAUAACUAUUGGAAACAAUAGCUAAUACCGGAUAUAGUUAUUUAUCGCAUGAUGAGUAAUAGAAAGGAGCUUCACAGCUUCACUUAAAAAUGGGGGUGCGGAACAUUAGUUAGUUGGUAGGGUAAUGGCCUACCAAGACGAUGAUGUUUAGCCGGGCCGAGAGGCUGUACGGCCACACUGGGACUGAGAUACGGCCCAGACUCCUACGGGAGGCAGCAGUAGGGAAUCUUCGGCAAUGGACGGAAGUCUGACCGAGCAACGCCGCGUGAGUGAAGAAGGUUUUCGGAUCGUAAAGCUCUGUUGUAAGAGAAGAACGAGUGUGAGAGUGGAAAGUUCACACUGUGACGGUAUCUUACCAGAAAGGGACGGCUAACUACGUGCCAGCAGCCGCGGUAAUACGUAGGUCCCGAGCGUUGUCCGGAUUUAUUGGGCGUAAAGCGAGCGCAGGCGGUUAGAUAAGUCUGAAGUUAAAGGCUGUGGCUUAACCAUAGUACGCUUUGGAAACUAUUUAACUUGAGUGCAAGGGGGGAGAGUGGAAUUCCAUGUGUAGCGGUGAAAUGCGUAGAUAUAUGGAGGAACACCGGUGGCGAAAGCGGCUCUCUGGCUUGUAACUGACGCUGAGGCUCGAAAGCGUGGGGAGCAAACAGG